AUUGAACGAUGGCGGCAGGCCUAACACAUGCAAGUCGGACGAGUGGCGGACGGGUGAGUACUGUCUGAGAAACUGCCCGAUGGAGGGGGAUAACUACUGGAAACGGUAGCUAAUACCGCAUACCAUCGGAUGUGCCCCUAUGGGAUUAGCUAGUAGGUGGGGUAAUGGCUCACCUAGGCGACGAUCCCUACCUGGUCUGAGAGGAUGACCAGCAACACUGGAACUGCGACACGGUCCAGACUCCUACGGGAGGCAGCAGUGGGGAAUAUUGCACAAUGGGCGCAAGCCUGAUGCAGCCAUGCCGCGUGUAUGAAGAAGGCCUUCGGGUUGUAAAGUACUUUCAGCGAGGAGGCGUUAAUCGCAGAAGAAGCACCGGCUAACUCCGUGCCAGCAGCCGCGGUAAUUC
Molecule: ribosomal RNA, 406 nt
Filed under: uncultured bacterium
Lineage: Bacteria
Description: partial 16S ribosomal RNA
Rfam family: Bacterial small subunit ribosomal RNA
Source: RNAcentral